GUGUCAGCCGCCGCGGUAAAACGUAGGGGGCGAGCGUUGUCCGGAAUUACUGGGCGUAAAGGGCGUGUAGGCGGUCUAAUAAGUCUCGAGGUGAAAACUUACGGCUCAACCGUAAGCGUGCCUGAGAAACUGUUGGACUUGAGGGCAGGAGAGGGGAGUGGAAUUCCCAGUGUAGCGGUGAAAUGCGUAGAUAUUGGGAGGAACACCGGUGGCGAAGGCGGCUCUCUGGCCUGUUACUGACGCUGAGGCGCGAAAGCGUGGGGAGCGAACGGGAUUAGAUACCCCGGUAGUCCACGCCGUAAACGAUGGGUGCUAGGUGUAGGAGGUAUCGACCCCUUCUGUGCCGUAGUAAACACAAUAAGCACCCCGCCUGGGGAGUACGGCCGCAAGGUUGAAACUCAAAUAAAUUGACGG
This 414-nucleotide ribosomal RNA is filed under the name uncultured bacterium. RNAcentral's name for it is "bacterial SSU rRNA". It matches the Rfam family "Bacterial small subunit ribosomal RNA", at positions 505 to 916 of the family's 1533-position model. The record is from RNAcentral.